Alexandromys fortis (reed vole) is the source of this 462-nucleotide long non-coding RNA. RefSeq lists it as uncharacterized. Lineage: Eukaryota; Metazoa; Chordata; Mammalia; Rodentia; Cricetidae. The record is from RefSeq and is a predicted model, not a curated record. The transcript has 5 exons.
CUCACAGCAGCAUCGCAGAGAAGAACAGAGUGGAGAGUUUAAGUGAGAAGAUCUGAACUAUCAAAGGAUAUUCUGGGCAAGAUGAAAGCCCUCCUUGUGUUCUCUGUCAUUCUGGCAGUAGCAGCUUGUCUCCCAGUGUCCCAGGACCAGGCACGAGAGAAACGAAGUGACAACGACAGUGAUGAAGACUUCCCAAGAAUAUAUUUUCCCCCAAACCGGUAUCCACCUGGUGCAUACCCACAAUAUGAAUAUCAAGUCUAUCCAUGGUUUUAUCCCCCUUAUCCCUUCCCCUUCCCCUUCCCUCCUUUUGCAACUCCACCUCCUAUUGUGAAGUAAAUGAGAGAGAAGUCACAGUGUGAGUGAAGAUGAAGUGAGUGGCUACUUUGAAAUUGAAUGCAAGCCACUUCUUUGAUGGAUCAAUGUUCCUGUUAAAAGAGAAAAAUAAAUGCAAUUGAAAUAGCA